Oncorhynchus tshawytscha (Chinook salmon) is the source of this 512-nucleotide long non-coding RNA. The record is from Ensembl. NCBI's taxonomy places the organism in Eukaryota, Metazoa, Chordata, Actinopteri, Salmoniformes, Salmonidae.
CGGGGUGAGCGAGAGAGAGAGAGUGAGAGUGAGGUUCGGGGUGAGCGAGAGAGAGAGAGUGAGGUUCGGGGUGAGCGAGAGAGAGAGAGUGAGGUUCGGGGUGAGCGAGAGAGAGAGAGUGAGGUUCGGGGUGAGCGAGAGAGAGAGAGUGAGGUUCUAAAUGGGAGAGAGAUGAGGGGAGAGUUCUUCUGCCCAGGUGUUGCUGAAGCAUACCAGAUCUAACAACGCCUGGAUAGGCAUCAGUUUACCACAUCAUAUGUUGUAGCAAUCUGGUGCCCAACGGCACAGUCGAUGAUGUGACACGCAACCAUUGGUUGAUGCACGCAACGUCUGAACAGGGGAACACAACCAAGCUCUCCAGGCCAAAACACACGUGCAGAAGAGCAGAGAAGAAGACAUCACUCAUGCAUUAAGAGGAUGAGAAAAUGCAAGAGACCGAAAUAAAAGGCCAGUGGCUUUUCCCAGAGAUUGUGAAAUGAGUAGGAAAGCAAGGUGUCCCUCGAAAGUCUCUC